This 29-nucleotide small RNA is filed under the name Bombyx mori (domestic silkworm). Its description in RNAcentral is "ovarian small RNA-25280". Lineage: Eukaryota; Metazoa; Arthropoda; Insecta; Lepidoptera; Bombycidae. The record is from RNAcentral.
UCACGCAUAAUUUCGGUUCGCCAUACGUG